This 406-nucleotide ribosomal RNA is filed under the name uncultured bacterium. Its description in RNAcentral is "partial 16S ribosomal RNA". It matches the Rfam family "Bacterial small subunit ribosomal RNA", at positions 28 to 526 of the family's 1533-position model. The record is from RNAcentral.
GACGAACGCUGGCGGCGUGCCUAAUACAUGCAAGUAGAACGCAGUUGCGAACGGGUGAGUAACGCGUAGGUAACUGCCUCAUAGCGGGGGAUAACUAUUGGAAACGAUAGCUAAUACCGCAUAAUGUUAGAUGGACCUGCGUUGUAUUAGCUAGUUGGUGGGGUAAAGGCUCACCAAGGCGACGAUACAUAGCCGACCGUAGAGGGUGAUCGACCACACUGGGACUGGGACACGGCCCAGACUCCUACGGGAGGCAGAAGUGGGGAAUAUUGGACAAUGGGGGAAGGCCUGAUGCGUCCAUGCCGCGUGUAUGAAGAAGGCGUUCGGGUUGUAAAGUACUUUCAGCGGGGAGCGGUACCCGCAGAAAAAGCGCCGGCUAACUACGUGCCAGCAGCCGCGGUAAUUC